UUUAUUGCCUUAUAGUUAUUCAUAAUAAUAAUAUAGUUAUUCAUAAUAAUCCAUAAUAAUAAUAAUACUAUUAUUACUUUAGUCUGUGUUUUGUCUGGUGUUAUUUUCCCUUUAAAUAAAUCUGAACCCCCUGGGACCUGGUUUCACUGUAUCUAGUGGAGGUUCUUAAGGUGAUGAGAAUCUUGAAGGCCUGUCCAACUUCUGGUACAGAUCAGGAUUCUGCCAUGACACAGUUGUCUUGAAAUACUCUUUCAUGCUUCAAAGGACUCAUGGGGGGAGGGGCAGAGGAAUUUAUGGUAAUGUAAGAAAGAAUGCCUCCUGUAAUGCUUUUCAUUACAAAAAAAGGCUCUGAGGGCCAUGAUGAGUCACCCCAGCGUUCUAAAACAUUAUUAGAGAGGAAAUAAAGAUAUCUCUUCCUGUGCUUGCCCUCUGGAUGGCGUCAAAGCCUCCUUCCCACUCCAAGAAAAAGACCUAGUCAGCUAGUAAAAUCUGGGCCUAGUGAUCCUUCUUCUCUUCCCUCUGGUACUUGGAAAUAGUAUCAGAACUCACUGAACAGGAAGUCUGCAGUCUGCUCAGGAAGGAGCUUUCAAAGCAUCAGAUCCUGGGAUGUCACCCUUAGCCCUUGCUCCAGACCACACGGAUUCAACCUCUGGCCGCACUCUCACUAGGCAAGUUGGUAGUCCUCUCUGGGAAGCUGUGAGUAGUGAUAGUGCCAACCUCAGAAGACCAUGGAAGGGUCCAAGCGACAUGAUGGCCAUGAGGAAAGUGACACAUCGCUGCAGAUAACAUGCUGGUGGAUGAGUGAGUGGAUCCUUGUGUGACUGGAAUGGAUGUAUCAAAUGAGGAAACUGGAGCAACUUUGCACAAUGAGUAAGUUACAAUCCCGGAAUUCAAACAGUGUCAGUCAUAUUACCAAAUUUCAUGGCUCUCUAAUUUCCAGGACUUAAAAGAAGCUCAUUUUUACUUAUAUUUGAUUUAUGGCAGUGCUGAAAUUCUCUUCAAACUCAUUUGUCUUUAUCAUGAAUUUUGCCCACUUUUCUAUCAGGGCCAUCAUUCUUUUUAUUAGAAAUUGGGCUGAACCUCUUCCAUUCUUUCCUCUUUGCCAUUUGUCAUU
Molecule: long non-coding RNA, 1114 nt
Organism: Mustela erminea (ermine)
Lineage: Eukaryota; Metazoa; Chordata; Mammalia; Carnivora; Mustelidae
Exons: 3
Source: RefSeq, a predicted model, not a curated record